GUGUUGUUCAUGUAAGUAAAAAAUUGGUGAUAAGUCGAAUUCUAUAGGUCAAAUUCAGAAGGAAAUAAAUGGAGGACGAACACGUAAUUCCGACGAUAUAUGUUGUCAAAAGAGAAACAGAUAUUUCAUAACGUGCCAUUUUUUGCAUAGCUUUGGCAUCAUAACAAAGUAAGGCGUUGAAAUGAUUUCAAGAAUAGUGUCGAAUAAAAACAAAUCAUGAACAAAUGAACCAUCAUAUAUUCCAGACUUAGAAUUUACCACGUCUACACAAGACUCGUUCGUUGCAGUCCAACA
Molecule: long non-coding RNA, 294 nt
Filed under: Mytilus galloprovincialis (Mediterranean mussel)
Lineage: Eukaryota; Metazoa; Mollusca; Bivalvia; Mytilida; Mytilidae
Source: RNAcentral